AGCGGCGGACGGGUGAGUAACACGUGGGUAACCUGCCCAAGAGACUGGGAUAACACCUGGAAACAGAUGCUAAUACCGGAUAACAACACUAGACGCAUGUCUAGAGUUUGAAAGAUGGUUCUGCUAUCACUCUUGGAUGGACCUGCGGUGCAUUAGCUAGUUGGUAAGGUAACGGCUUACCAAGGCAAUGAUGCAUAGCCGAGUUGAGAGACUGAUCGGCCACAUUGGGACUGAGACACGGCCCAAACUCCUACGGGAGGCAGCAGUGGGGAAUCUUCCACAAUGGACGAAAGUCUGAUGGAGCAACGCCGCGUGAGUGAAGAAGGGUUUCGGCUCGUAAAGCUCUGUUGGUAGUGAAGAAAGAUAGAGGUAGUAACUGGCCUUUAUUUGACGGUAAUUACUUAGAAAGUCACGGCUAACUACGUGCCAGCAGCCGCGGUAAUACGUAGGUGGCAAGCGUUGUCCGGAUUUAUUGGGCGUAAAGCGAGUGCAGGCGGUUCAAUAAGUCUGAUGUGAAAGCCUUCGGCUCAACCGGAGAAUUGCAUCAGAAACUGUUGAACUUGAGUGCAGAAGAGGAGAGUGGAACUCCAUGUGUAGCGGUGGAAUGCGUAGAUAUAUGGAAGAACACCAGUGGCGAAGGCGGCUCUCUGGUCUGCAACUGACGCUGAGGCUCGAAAGCAUGGGUAG
RNAcentral lists this ribosomal RNA (687 nucleotides) under uncultured bacterium. RNAcentral describes it as "bacterial SSU rRNA". It matches the Rfam family "Bacterial small subunit ribosomal RNA", at positions 94 to 768 of the family's 1533-position model. The record is from RNAcentral.